RNAcentral lists this ribosomal RNA (1459 nucleotides) under uncultured Bordetella sp. RNAcentral's name for it is "partial 16S-23S ribosomal RNA intergenic spacer". It matches the Rfam family "Bacterial small subunit ribosomal RNA". The record is from RNAcentral. Lineage: Bacteria; Pseudomonadati; Pseudomonadota; Betaproteobacteria; Burkholderiales; Alcaligenaceae.
AGUUCGAUUCUGGCUCAGAUUGAACGCUGGCGGGAUGCUUUACACAUGCAAGUCGAACGGCAGCACGGACUUCGGUCUGGUGGCGAGUGGCGAACGGGUGAGUACGUAUCGGAACUGCCUAGUAGUGGGGAUAACUACGCGAAAGCGUAGCCAAUACCGCAUACGCCCUUCGGGGAAAGCGGGGACCUUCGGGCCUGCAAUUAGAGUGGCCGAUAUCGGAUUAGCUAGUUGGUGGGGUAACGGCUCACCAAGGUGACGAUCCGUAGCUGGUUUGAGAGAUGACCAGCCACACUGACCAGCGCCCAGACUCCCUACGGGAGGCAGCAGUGGGGAAUUUGACAAUGGGGAAACUCCUGAUCCAGCCAUCCCUGGCGUGGGUGCGAUGGGCCUUCGGGUUGUAAAGCAUCUUUGGCAGGAAAAGAAACGGCACGGGAUAAUACCCGUGCAACUGACGGUACCUGCAGAAUAAGCACCGGCUAACUACGUGCCAGCAGCCGCGGUAAUACGUAGGUGCAGCACAUCGGAAUUACUGGCGUAAAGCGCAGGCGGUUCGGAAAGAAAGAUGUGAAAUCCCAGAGCUUAACUUUGAACUGCAUUUUUAACUACCGAGCUAGAGUGUGUCGUGAGAGGAAUUCGGCGUGUGGCAGUGAAAUGCGUAGAUAUGCGGAGGAACACCGAUGGCGUAGCUGGCAGCUUCCUGGGAUAACACUGACGCUCAUGCACGAAAGCGUGGGGAGCAAACAGAUUAGAUACCCUGGUAGUCCACGCCCUAAACGAUGCUUCACUAGCUGUUGGGGCCUUCGGGCCUUGCAGCGCAGCUAACGCGAAGUUGACCGCCUGGGGAGUACGGUCGCAAGAUUAAAAACCCAGCUGUGAAUUGACGGGGACCCGCACAAGCGGUGGAUGAUGUGGAUUAAUCUUUGAUGCAACGCGAAAACCUUACCUACCUCUUUGACAUGUCUGGAAUCCCGAAGAGAUUUGGAGGGCUCGCAAGAGAACCGGAACACAGGUGUCGCACGGCUGUCGUCAGCUCGUGUCGUGAGAUGUUGGGUUAAGUCCCGCAAUGAGCGCACCCCUGUCAUUAGUUGCCACGAAAGGGCACUGACGAGACUGCCGGUGACAAACCGGAGGAAGGUGGGGAUGACGUCAAGUCCUCAUGGCUCCGCGGGUAGGGCUUCACACGUCAUACAAUGGUCGGGACAGAGGGUCGCCAACCCGCGAGGGGAGCCAAUCCCAGAAACCCGAUCGUAGUCCGGAUCGCAGUCUGCAACUCGACUGCGUGAAGUCGGAACGCGGUAAUCGCGGAUCAGCAUGUCGCGGUGAAUACGUUCCCGGGUCUUGUACACACCGCCCGCCACGACCAAGCGUGGGAGUGGGUUUUACCAGAAGUAGUUAGCCCAACUGCAAGGAGGGCGAUUACCACGGUAGGAUUCAUGACGGUGAAGUCGUAACAAGGUAG